RNAcentral lists this ribosomal RNA (440 nucleotides) under uncultured bacterium. RNAcentral's name for it is "partial 16S ribosomal RNA". It matches the Rfam family "Bacterial small subunit ribosomal RNA", at positions 338 to 795 of the family's 1533-position model. The record is from RNAcentral.
CCUACGGGUGGCAGCAGUGGGGAAUAUUGGACAAUGGGGGAAACCCUGAUCCAGCGACGCCGCGUGCGUGAAGAAGUAUUUCGGUACGUAAAGCUCUAUCAGCAGGAAAGAAAAUGACGGUACCUGACUAAGAAGACUCGGCUAACUACGGGCCAGCAGCCGCGGCACUACGUAGGGGGCAAGCGUUAUCCGGAUUUACUGGGUGUAAAGGGGGCGUAGACGGCAGCGCAAGUCUGUAGUGAAAUGCCGGGGCCCAACCCCAGAACUGCUCUGGAAACUGGGAAGCUGGAGUGCAGGAGAGGGAAGCGGAAUUCCUGGUGUAGCGGUGAAAUGCGUAGAUAUCAGGAGGAACACCGGCUGCGAAGGCGGCAUACUGGACUGUAACUGACGUUGAGGCUCGAAGGCGUGGGGAGCAAACAGGAUUAGAUACCCCAGUAGUC